AUUGAACGCUGGUGGCAUGCCUUACACAUGCAAGUCGAACGGCAGCACGGGGCAACCUGGUGGCGAGUGGCGAACGGGUGAGUAAUGCAUCGGAACGUGCCAUUGAGUGGGGGAUAACGUAGCGAAAGUUGCGCUAAUACCGCAUAUUCUGUGAGCAGGAAAGCAGGGGACCGCAAGGCCUUGCGCUCUUUGAGCGGCCGAUGUCAGAUUAGCUAGUUGGUGAGGUAACGGCUUACCAAGGCGACGAUCUGUAGCGGGUCUGAGAGGAUGAUCCGCCACACUGGAACUGAGACACGGUCCAGACUCCUACGGGAGGCAGCAGUGGGGAAUUUUGGACAAUGGGCGCAAGCCUGAUCCAGCCAUGCCGCGUGAGUGAAGAAGGCCUUCGGGUUGU
This 394-nucleotide ribosomal RNA is filed under the name uncultured bacterium. RNAcentral's name for it is "bacterial SSU rRNA". It matches the Rfam family "Bacterial small subunit ribosomal RNA", at positions 30 to 426 of the family's 1533-position model. The record is from RNAcentral.